This 300-nucleotide unclassified non-coding RNA is filed under the name uncultured Ascomycota. Its description in RNAcentral is "sequence contains 5.8S rRNA gene, ITS2". The stretch from base 1 to 82 matches the Rfam family "5.8S ribosomal RNA", at positions 71 to 154 of the family's 154-position model. Lineage: Eukaryota; Fungi; Ascomycota. The record is from RNAcentral.
AUAAGAGACAGGUGAGUCAUCGAAUCUUUGAACGCACAUUGCGCCCUUUGGUAUUCCGAAGGGCACACCUGUUCGAGCGCCGGUUUCCUACUAAGGCUUCAGCCUUGCGUUGACGAUCGGCCCCGGGAGGGGGCGCGUCGAAACGGGAACAGAGGCGUCUCCGGGCGGCGACGGCAGCGUAGCAAUAAAACCCUCGCUGGCGGGCCGCGGACGGCAGACGGCCGGUUUGACCAACUGACGGUUUGGCCUCGGAUCAGGUGGGGAUACCCGCUGAACUUAAGCAUAUCAAUAAGCGGAGGA